CGGAGGGUGCAAGCGUUGUUCGGAAUUACUGGGCGUAAAGCGCGCGUAGGCGGCUUUGUAAGUUGGGAGUGAAAUCCCGGGGCUUAACUCCGGAAUUGCUUUCAAAACUACAAAGCUAGAGUAUGGCAGGGGACAGUGGAAUUCCUAGUGUAGAGGUGAAAUUCGUAGAUAUUAGGAGGAACACCAGUGGCGAAAGCGACUGUCUGGACCAUUACUGACGCUGAGGCGCGAAAGCGUGGGGAGCAAACAGGAUUAGAUACCCUGGUAGUCCACGCUGUAAACGAUGGGUGCUAGAUAUUGGGGCUUAAGCCUCAGUGUCGUAGCUAACGCGUUAAGCACCCCGCCUGGGGAGUACGGUCGCAAGAUUA
RNAcentral lists this ribosomal RNA (368 nucleotides) under uncultured organism. RNAcentral describes it as "bacterial SSU rRNA". It matches the Rfam family "Bacterial small subunit ribosomal RNA", at positions 526 to 896 of the family's 1533-position model. The record is from RNAcentral.